CAGUCUUUCUUCUCCACUGAAGGCCGGGAUUCUCAGUGCCUGGCACACGGCUUUGAAUAUAGCAGCCACCCAGAUACUUCAAUUACUACAAAUAGACACAACUCCAUUUCCCCUGAGGGCAGUGUGGUCAAGUGGGCCGUAUGGGGCUCUGAGAGAGGAAUCCACAGCAGCUUCAGCAUUGGAGGAGACUGAACCGAGAAUCCCAGAGAGAGGGCUACCAGGUUUUCUUCCUGAUCGAAUCCUCAAGCUUCUCGAACGUGUGGAGACCAGAAGCCUUGUCGGUGCAGUGCUCAUGCCCUGAACGUUCUAGGGAUCAAAGUGUGGGGGAAGGGAAGAGCCAGGCGGAGGAAGCGGGAUCGUGUUGGAGAGUGGAUGGACUGUGCACAAGGAGGAGUGGCGUGCAGGCCAGAGCAGCGCCUCGCUGGGCUGGUGUGGAAGACGGUGGGCGUCCGCCCCCUCCCAGCUUAUUUUCUGCCGGGCCAGCACCUCUCUUCCAGCUCAGAGCCUAACUCCACACUCAGAGGCUCUCCACUGCCCCAGAUCGGGUAAUGACACCAGUAUGAAAGAGCCUUUCAGAGAGGGAGGCACAGAGAAAGACGAGGAGGUGGGCGGGGUGCUUUGUUCUGAGCCUCCUCCAACGGGGGGCAGGGCCAGGGACAGGCCCACAGGCAGGAACACACCACACUCAGUCAGGCUAGCAUCAGUUUUGAAGAGGAAAUGACACUUCUUUGUCUCCGUGUGGUUGCCACCCUGGCCUGCUCUGCUUGUCUGAAGCAACCGUGAGCUCUUGGUAAGAGGUGGUUAAAGAGAUAUGGC
RNAcentral lists this long non-coding RNA (816 nucleotides) under Equus caballus (horse). RNAcentral describes it as "lncRNA (ENSECAG00000057517.1)". The record is from RNAcentral. Lineage: Eukaryota; Metazoa; Chordata; Mammalia; Perissodactyla; Equidae.